This 253-nucleotide ribosomal RNA is filed under the name uncultured bacterium. RNAcentral's name for it is "partial 16S ribosomal RNA". It matches the Rfam family "Bacterial small subunit ribosomal RNA", at positions 524 to 776 of the family's 1533-position model. The record is from RNAcentral.
UACGGAGGGUGCAAGCGUUGUUCGGAAUUACUGGGCGUAAAGCGCGUGUAGGUGGCUUGUUAUGUCAGGUGUGAAAGCCCUCGGCCUAACCGAGGAAGUGCGCCUGAAACUGCCAAGCUUGAGUACGAGAGAGGAGGACGGAAUUCCCAGUGUAGAGGUGAAAUUCGUAGAUAUUGGGAGGAACACCGGUGGCGAAAGCGGUUCUCUGGAUCGAUUCUGACGCUGAGGUGCGAAAGCGUGGGGAGCAAACAGG